GGGACGAAGUCGUAACAAGGUAGCCGUACCGGAAGG
This 36-nucleotide ribosomal RNA is filed under the name Streptomyces sp. SJK18. RNAcentral's name for it is "partial 16S ribosomal RNA". The record is from RNAcentral. Lineage: Bacteria; Bacillati; Actinomycetota; Actinomycetes; Kitasatosporales; Streptomycetaceae.